RNAcentral lists this ribosomal RNA (2182 nucleotides) under Ruminococcus sp. AM57-5. RNAcentral describes it as "bacterial LSU rRNA". It matches the Rfam family "Bacterial large subunit ribosomal RNA", at positions 78 to 2297 of the family's 2925-position model. The record is from RNAcentral. Lineage: Bacteria; Bacillati; Bacillota; Clostridia; Eubacteriales; Oscillospiraceae.
UCGGGGAGGAGCAAAUAUCCUUUGAUCCGGAGAUUUCUGAAUGGGGAAACCUACUUGAGCAAACCUCAAGUAUCCUUAAGCCAAUACAUAACUUAAGGAAGGGAACCCGGUGAACUGAAACAUCUAAGUAGCCGGAGGAAGAGAAAACAACAUGUGAUUCUGUGAGUAGCGGCGAGCGAAAACGGAAGAGCCCAAACCAGCGUGCGUGCAUGCUGGGGUUCGGACCGCGGAAUUGAUUCAACGAGUUUAGCAGAACGGUUUUGGGAAAGCCGGCCAGAGAGGGUGAAAGCCCCGUAAGCGAAAGACGAGUUGACAUGGCGGGAUCCAGAGUACCACGAGACACGUGGAACCUUGUGGGAAGAUGCGGGGACCACCCCGUAAGGCUAAAUACUACUUAGUGACCGAUAGCGCAUAGUACUGUGAAGGAAAGGUGAAAAGGACCCCGGGAGGGGAGUGAAAAAGAACCUGAAACCAUAUGUUUACAAGCUGUGGAAGAGCUUUAUAUGCUCAACCGCGUACUUUUUGUAGAACGGUCCGGCGAGUUACGCUGGCUGGCGAGGUUAAGGACUGAAGGUCCGGAGCCGAAGGGAAACCAAGUCUGAAUAGGGCGCAUAGUCAGUCGGAGUAGACCCGAAACCGGGUGAUCUAUCCAUGUCCAGGUUGAAGUUGCCGUAAAAGGCAAUGGAGGACCGAACCCACAUCCGUUGAAAAGGGUGGGGAUGAGGUGUGGAUAGGGGAGAAAUUCCAAUCGAACCCGGAGAUAGCUGGUUCUCCUCGAAAUAGCUUUAGGGCUAGCCUCAUACGAGUCUUGCGGAGGUAGAGCACUGAAUUCCUAAGGGGGCGUCAAAGCUUACUAAGGGAUAUCAAACUCCGAAUGCCGUGUAGAUGAUGUAUGGGAGUCAGACGAUCCGAGAUAAGUUGGGUGGUCAAAAGGGAAAGAGCCCAGACCAACAGCUAAGGCCCCAAAAUGUGUGUUAAGUGGAAAAGGAUGUGGGAUUUCGAAGACAACUAGGAUGUUGGCUCAGAAGCAGCCAUUCAUUCAAAGAGUGCGUAAUAGCUCACUAGUCGAGAGGUCCUGCGCCGAAAAUGUCCGGGGCUAAAACACACUGCCGAAGCUUUGGAAUUGAGAAUUCAAUUGGUAGAGGAGCAUUCUUAAAGGGACGAAGCAGUACCGUAAGGAGCUGUGGACUUUUAAGAAGAGAGAAUGCCGGAAUGAGUAGCGAGAGGAAGGUGGGAAUCCUUCCGGCCGAAUAUCUAAGGUUUCCAGAGUAAAGCUGAUCUGCUCUGGGUAAGUCGGGGCCUAAGGCGAGGUCGAAAGACGUAGUCGAUGGAUAACAGGUUGAAAUUCCUGUACUAUCCUGUAACAGAACUGUGGGGACACAGGCAGAGAGCGUGAGCCGGGAAUGGAAAGACCGGUACAAGCGAGGUAGGAGAAGAGUUGGCAAAUCCGCUCUUUAAUCUGAAGACGUGAUGUGGACUGAAAAUAAGUAGGGAAGCACGUGAGCUGACUGUCAAGAAAAGCCGCUAUUGUUUGCAGGAUACCCGUACCGUAAACCGACACAGGUGGAUGAGGAGAGAAUCCUAAGGCCGACGGGAGAAGCAUUGUUAAGGAACUCGGCAAAAUGACUCCGUAACUUCGGGAGAAGGAGUGCCAGUAAGAUGGCCGCAGAGAAUUGGCCCAAGCAACUGUUUAGCAAAAACACAGGUCUAUGCAAAACCGAAAGGUGAGGUAUAUGCUGACGCCUGCCCGGUGCUGGAAGGUUAAGGGGAGAGGUUAGCGCAAGCGAAGCUUUGAACUUAAGCCCCAGUAAACGGCGGCCGUAACUAUAACGGUCCUAAGGUAGCGAAAUUCCUUGUCGGGUAAGUUCCGACCCGCACGAAAGGCGUAAUGAUUUGGGCACUGUCUCAACAAUGCACCCGGUGAAAUUGAAAUACCAGUGAAGAUGCUGGUUACCUGCGCCAGGACGGAAAGACCCCAUGGAGCUUUACUCCAGCUUGAUACUGGGAUUCGGUAUUGCAUGUACAGGAUAGGUGGGAGGCUAGGAAAUGGUAACGCCAGUUGCCAUGGAGCCGCUGUUGGGAUACCACCCUUGCAGUACUGGGUUUCUAACCAGCAGCCGUGAUCCGGCUGGGGGACAAUGUCAGGUGGGGAGUUUGACUGGGGCGGUCGCCUCCGAAAGGG